This 253-nucleotide ribosomal RNA is filed under the name uncultured bacterium. RNAcentral's name for it is "partial 16S ribosomal RNA". It matches the Rfam family "Bacterial small subunit ribosomal RNA", at positions 524 to 776 of the family's 1533-position model. The record is from RNAcentral.
UACAGAGGGUGCGAGCGUUAAUCGGAAUUACUGGGCGUAAAGCGCGCGUAGGCGGCUUUGCAAGUCGGGUGUGAAAUCCCCAGGCUCAACCUGGGAACUGCAUUCGAGACUGCAUUGCUAGAGUAUGGGAGAGGGAAGUGGAAUUUCCGGUGUAGCGGUGAAAUUCGUAGAUAUCGGGAGGAACACCAGUGGCGAAGGCGGCGACCUGGGCCAAUACUGACGCUGAGGUGCGAAAGCGUGGGGAGCAAACAGG